CCCGUACCGCAAACCGACACAGGUAGUCAAGAUGAGAAUUCUAAGGUGAGCGAGCGAACUCUCGUUAAGGAACUCGGCAAAAUGACCCCGUAACUUCGGGAGAAGGGGUGCUCUUUAGGGUUAACGCCCAGAAGAGCCGCAGUGAAUAGGCCCAAGCGACUGUUUAUCAAAAACACAGGUCUCUGCUAAACCGUAAGGUGAUGUAUAGGGGCUGACGCCUGCCCGGUGCUGGAAGGUUAAGAGGAGUGGUUAGCUUCUGCGAAGCUACGAAUCGAAGCCCCAGUAAACGGCGGCCGUAACUAUAACGGUCCUAAGGUAGCGAAAUUCCUUGUCGGGUAAGUUCCGACCCGCACGAAAGGCGUAACGAUUUGGGCACUGUCUCAACGAGAGACUCGGUGAAAUCAUAGUACCUGUGAAGAUGCAGGUUACCCGCGACAGGACGGAAAGACCCCGUGGAGCUUU
This 462-nucleotide ribosomal RNA is filed under the name Staphylococcus aureus. Its description in RNAcentral is "partial 23S ribosomal RNA". It matches the Rfam family "Bacterial large subunit ribosomal RNA", at positions 1641 to 2102 of the family's 2925-position model. Lineage: Bacteria; Bacillati; Bacillota; Bacilli; Caryophanales; Staphylococcaceae. The record is from RNAcentral.